GAUGAACGCUGGCGGCGUGCUUAACACAUGCAAGUCGAACGAUGAAGCCCAGCUUGCUGGGUGGAUUAGUGGCGAACGGGUGAGUAACACGUGAGUAACCUGCCCUCAACUCUGGGAUAAGCCUGGGAAACUGGGUCUAAUACCGGAUAGGAGCGUCCACCGCAUGGUGGGUGUUGGAAAGAUUUAUCGGUUUUGGAUGGACUCGCGGCCUAUCAGCUUGUUGGUGAGGUAAUGGCUCACCAAGGCGACGACGGGUAGCCGGCCUGAGAGGGUGACCGGCCACACUGGGACUGAGACACGGCCCAGACUCCUACGGGAGGCAGCAGUGGGGAAUAUUGCACAAUGGGCGAAAGCCUGAUGCAGCGACGCCGCGUGAGGGAUGACGGCCUUCGGGUUGUAAACCUCUUUCAGUAGGGAAGAAGCGAAAGUGACGGUACCUGCAGAAGAAGCACCGGCUAACUACGUG
Molecule: ribosomal RNA, 466 nt
Filed under: uncultured bacterium
Lineage: Bacteria
Description: partial 16S ribosomal RNA
Rfam family: Bacterial small subunit ribosomal RNA
Source: RNAcentral